GUACGUGCGUGUGUUUGCAAACGACCGUACCGCCUUCGGGAAGAUCAGGUUGAAAAUAGGUUAGGAAUACUUUGCGGUAACGGUAAAUUUGAUGAGCACGUUAAGAGCGGUUACAAAACCGGCAUUAAAAGUUUGUUUUCUUGCACAACGCAAGACUUCCAAUUUAGUAUAACUAAUUUGACUCAAAGAAUGUUCAAUGGAUUUAAUUUUUGUUUAUUCUCAUUUUGAUCAUCGUUAUCCGAUAAUAUCUGACAGGUACACACGGACGAUGUCUUGAUGCUCGUAAAAAAUCUUGCAGUUCGACGGCAAUCCCUUCGGCCGGUACUCUCACCUGUCCGGCACCACCAAUGAGCAUUUUGAUGCUUAUUAACCUACAUUUCGUGGUACGAGUGCCCCCGCCGCAGACAGUUCCUGUCGAGAGGGGUUAACCCAGGUGCCAGGGGCGGAGAAAUCACUAUAGGAAAAUCCCAGCAAUAGUCUGGAACGUUAUCCACAAAGCUGACCAUUGCUCUUAACGGGCCAUCGGCUCUGACAUUGUGUGGGUCGGAGGGGUUGUUUUCGUGCUCUCCUUCGUUUCGGCUCGCGUUCGAGAAGGAUGAGUAAGAGACAUGAUUUGCAAGAAUGGCCGCUCCGAAAGUGGGUCAGACAGGCGCGAGAACUGUUAUCUUCCGAGUAUUCCUCGUCUCUUCGUACGGGGGUUCGCACUUCCUCGUUUGUGGUUGCAAAGCGAUAUUUGUGCUAUUUGUUUUGUAUUACCGGAGAAAUCAUCUGAAGAUUUUCAAAUGGGCCUCUUCCAAACAACACAAUCAAAUGUAAACAUUGGAAUCAUAUCCAGGGAUGCUAGAUGACUGUUUUGAACAUAUUAAUACGGCACGAAAAGUCUCUCAACAUCAUAUUGAACGAAAAUGAAUAAUUCAAAUGUGCAUUUUUGAUAAACCAAUGUUUUUUAUCUACUGAUUCACAUUUUACAAUGAUGCGUUUCAUUCGUCGUACCUAAUGGUUUCGAAGUUUAUUGCUAUGAAUGUGAAAAAAUAGACUACUUUAUAGUAUAACUGUAAAUGGAAAUACAAGCAUAUAGAUUUGAAACUUUUCUUGAUAAGGUGAAUUAGGUGAACAAAAAUUGGUUUUAAUAGAUCCAUAAUAACAAAACGUCUGAGUGAUGAAACCAUAUGCUGGUAGAAAAACUAUCAAUGAAACCAAAAGAUAUAUGAAUCAAAUUCCUUUUUGUUAUGAUUUUAGUAUUUUGGCACUGAGAAAAGAGUAUCCAUUGAUCAAUUUUAAAAAUGUUUGUUGUUUUUCUCAAAAUAAAAACAUGUCGUCACAUCUGACAUCACUGAUCAUACCGAGAAAAAGUGAAAGAAGUCUUUCCAGUCUACCAAAUAAAACAUUUCAAUGAAAUUCGUGUACUGGAAUAGGAUAUUUUGCUCGUCUCGACAAUGACUGAAGCCGAGACGAGAUGAGACGAAUUGCUCGUCUCGUUUUCUGGAAUAGGGCCCUUUGAUCGUAGUUGACUUUAAGUAAUCCACUCUUUAGUUCAUUUCUUCUAUUUUUUUAUCGUGAAUUUUUCAGGCUCAAUUCAAUUGUGUUACUUUCCGACAUAAGAGUACAUUUUUUCUUUCUUUAUUGUAGAGAUUUUCAGCCGUAGGUUGGUUCGUCUCCAACUAUAUGUCCCUGAAAUCUCUUUGCAUGUUUUCAGGGCAUCAUAUGUUCCUACAAAAUACAGUAAUCAAGGAAUACAUUGAGAUUUGUGGAAUUUUGUAACCGUCAAACAAACACACUUCCAUAGUUGCAUCCUAACUGUGAGGCAAAUUAUUUUCGUCCUUAUUUAGAACCUUUUCAAUUCAACACAUCAUCAUCCUAGCUCAACCAGAUAAGGUAAAGAUGUGAGAAUUUUAUUAUUCCGAAAUAAUCUACAAAACAGACCAAACUUAUUGAAAAAAAAGAGUUCACUUGAAAAGACUGCGUCUGGCCCGACUUCCGAGACGAAAAUAAUAAAGACAAAAUAACCUCGACCCGAGUACUAUCAACAUUUUCGCUUAAACUUGGGCAAGGAAAAUAUGUCUAAAUAAACAGAAUUUACCUUGUCCGGUGCGCACUGAUGCGAUGAUGGUGGUGCUUCAGCACUUUUCUAUUUUGUUUUUAAUUUUCAAGGGAAAAACACACGAGGAAUCAAGUCGCUGAUGACGAACCGGGCGGCUGACUAGACAGUUUUGCUUUUACCAUAUGACAAAAAGAGGCUCGCGUGAAACGUAAACAUCCACGCACACAACGAUGUCCCCAGUGCGGAUGUUUACAAUCUAAUUCACACACACACCCAGACAGAUUCGGUUGACAGCUGUGAGCUGCACACGGUAUGAUCCGUAUGAUCGAAUACGUGGUAAUCGAUUUAGUCCGGUGUUGUAUUUAGUCUGGAAACGAACCAUUCGAUGCUCUCAAUCAAACUCAAAUUUCAACAUUUGAUAAACGAAAAAUCGUGAGACUCAAUUGAAUUUGAUCGUUCUGCUCCAUAGAUGUAAGCGUUGUUUGCUUAGACUAUCAUUCUGCUUCCGUUCUUCGCUUAACCGACGAUAGCCAUUAACGCUUGAUAAGGCGUUUUUCGUUAAUCGCUAUGAGCUUGCCCGACUAUUCCGCGGAUAAUCGAGGUUCUACUGUAGAACACUUACAGUGCGGAACAAACCCAAGCGUUUCGAUCAGUCACGUAUCGAGUCAUUUGACUACUCUGCUGACCGUCUGCACGCCCUACGAUAUGCAAACGGGAGACAGGCUCGAUGUAUCGAUUUUAACCAAAUUGACGAAUCUACGUUCAAUUUACAACCAGGUGGCGCAGCAAGUGAAAUGAUGAUUUUGAUUUGAAUUUCUCUUGAAUUUUUUAGAAAAAUCCUAAUUUUUCUUCAAAUUUCCCGGUUUUAAGUAUUCUUUUUGCGCAAAGACAUCAUUUUACAUUGUUUGAUUUAUAACACAUGAAGA
Toxorhynchites rutilus septentrionalis is the source of this 2967-nucleotide long non-coding RNA. RefSeq lists it as uncharacterized. The record is from RefSeq and is a predicted model, not a curated record. The transcript is spliced from 4 exons. NCBI's taxonomy places the organism in Eukaryota, Metazoa, Arthropoda, Insecta, Diptera, Culicidae.